GACGAACGCUGGCGGCGUGCUUAACACAUGCAAGUCGAACGAGAAGAGAUGAGAAGCUUGCUUCUUAUUAAUUCGAGUGGCAAACGGGGUGAGUAACGCGUAAGCAACCUGCCCCUUCAGAUGGGGGACAACAGCUGGAAACGGCUGCUAAUACCGAAUACGUUCUUUUGUCGCAUGGCAGAGGGAAGAAAGGGGAGGCUCUUCGGAGCUUUCGCUGAAGGAGGGGCUUGCGUCUGAUUAGCUAGUUGGAGGGGUAACGGCCCACCAAGGCGACGAUCAGUAGCCGGUCUGGAGAGGAUGAACGGCCACAUUGGGACUGAGACACGGCCCAGACUCCUACGGGAGGCAGCAGUGGGGAA
Molecule: ribosomal RNA, 359 nt
Filed under: uncultured bacterium
Lineage: Bacteria
Description: bacterial SSU rRNA
Rfam family: Bacterial small subunit ribosomal RNA
Source: RNAcentral